Molecule: long non-coding RNA, 7486 nt
Filed under: Zea mays
Lineage: Eukaryota; Viridiplantae; Streptophyta; Magnoliopsida; Poales; Poaceae
Description: long non-coding RNA (ZMAY_LNC002803)
Source: RNAcentral
CAAAAGUUCAGAUUUGGGUCAUUUUGGAAUCAGCCCAAAACAAUUUUGUUUAUCUGUUUUUGGAUCCCUGUAACAUUUAAUCCAUGAGUAUUUUGGAAACAGUUGCUAUAACAAACCUGUAGAGUAACUAUAGGAGAACAAUGUUUAUGAAAUGUAGCAGCCCUAAAACCAUAUGCAACUAGGAGAAAAAGGUGUUCAAAGUGGGACUGUCAGACUUCUGGAUUUUCAGACUUCGAAUAGUUGCCUAAUUCUGAAAUCAGUGUUUUUAGUGCCAUUUUGGGGCUGUGUGUUGCCUGUUCUAGGCAGCUUUGGACCAUGGUUGCUAUGGGAGAGUUGAAGAGCAUAUGUCAGUGAACAAAUUUUGUUAUGUGCAUUAGGCCUGAUCUGACCCAGAACAUGGAGUAAAAGUUACUCAAAAGUGGGCUGUCAGUGUUUACAUGGACUGAAUUUUGUUCAGUUAACAGACAACUGAAUUUCAGCGAUUGGUGCCCUAUUUAGAGCACUUGUGUGGCCAUUCCAUUAGGUCUUAAACUAUGAAUUAUAUAGAAACAUUGGAGAUCAUAAGUUAGUGAACAAGUUUCCUUAAAUAAGUUUGAUUUGGUGCUGCACAAAAUUUGGAGUAAAUUGUGCCCAAACUCUCUCUGUCUGGUGUUGAUUUCAGUUUUUGUUUCAGCUAGCUGAACCUGAAUUCUUGUAUUUUCACACCAUUUUGGAGCACCAUAACUUUUGAUCCAUGAAUGUUUGACCUAAGGCUGCUGCAGCAAACAUUUAAAUCUAUGUGUUGGGAACAAUCUUUGUUAACUAAGAUUGGCAUGUAUUGCUUGCACUAGUGAGGAUCAAAGGGGUUAAAGGUAGGUCUUCAGUUGAUUAGUGCUGAAUUCUGUUUCAAGUGACUGGAAACUGGAUUCAGUUUUUGGGAGCAGAAAGCUCUGCACGCUGCAACCACUCGCCCAUUGUUUUAGUGAAUUGAAGUUGUGCUUUAAGAUGCGGAAGGCUGGUAGUUGAAAGGGGAAUCCAAGCCAAUCCAGUAACUGGGCGUGUGGGGCUGAAUUUGUUUCAGUUUGGACAGCAAGGGGGAGGGGGUCGGCAUGCUCAAACUGCACAAAUUUGUGCUGUCAGGCAAAAGAGCAUUGCAUGUUGUUCAGUAAUCCAGACUGAAUUUCAGUCAUGUUGCCUCAACUUUGAACUUCCUUUGGGACUAUUCUAUGCAGUUGUGAGACAUGCCUUGUGUAGCAAGGUUGGAGACCAAGUAUUAGUGAACAACUUUACUUAGAGGUGCUUAGCUUGGUGCUACACAAAGUUGGGAGUAAAUCUAUUCCAAAGUGCUUUCCGUCAGGUUCUUGUUUUCAGUUAACUGAAAACGAUAUUCAGUGGAUUGGGUUCACUUUGAGCAUUUGUAACUUUUGUUCUGUGUGAGCUAGACUUUGGAUUGUUGUAGUAACCUGAUAGUGCUAUGGUUGGGGAGCAUUUUUGGCCAACUGGGUUGGUCUGGUGUCAUUGAAAUUUGUGAGAAAAUGAGGAUUAACAGGAAGGGUGCAGUGUGGCCUAAGGUUUAGAUUCAGAGAACUGAACUUUGUUCAGUUGACGUGGGUGCAAUGAGUUUUAUUCGGUCUUUGGAGCUGUUUUGUGACUGAUUCAUGGUGUUAUGGCCUACAGCCCGUACAACAAUUAGUUAGAGGAUAAUAUGGUAAACAAUUGGUGUUAAAGUUGAUCCCUUUGUUACCACUUGAAGUAGUGAGAUUUUGGUAGGAUAACAGUAGAGGUUCAGUCUAGGUGGCUGAAACCGUGGUUCAGUCUGUUCGAAUUCAGUUUGGAGAGCUGGAGUUCAUGGUGUUUUAAGCUCCUCACUCCCUAUGUUUAGCUGGGGCUUUGUAACUGUGGUUGGAUGGCGUAUGACAGUGAACCAACAUAGGUAAGGGAAGGACUCGUUGUAGAUAACAGAAGUGGGCAAAAGUUGAUGCAAAAUGGAUAGAGUUAAGCGGUGGCCCACCUGUUAUGCGUCUGUCUGUUCUGUCCUAAUAAGACCGUCGCCACCUGAAUUCGCCGUAUGCCCAUGCAUGGCCACGCAGCUGCUUGCCUCUUGCGAUGGCUUGUGACGUGUCGUGAGUUGGGAAAUAUCUUCAUCCGGAUAGGCUAGAUGGAGUGCGUUCUCUGUUUUUCCUUUGUCUAACACCGCCGUUGAGCUUCUUGCGUUUCCUGGCUGAGAGUUCAUCCUGCUCACCGUGUUGAAGCGCAGCCCUUUUUUUUCGUGCGUUGCACGGAGUCGCCGCGCUUGCAGCCCCGUUCGCGGCACCACGCUUAGCCCCAGCAGCUUCUUCCGUGCGUCGUCUUGUUUUGCUUCGCAUUGCCGGCUUUCUUGCCUCCAGCAGCGAACGCACUGCCAUCCUUGCUUGGCCUCACAUCCUCCGCAGCUGGGCGUCACCAGGACGCUAUGCACGCUGCUCCCGCAUCUGGAGCUCGCCCACCCUACUCGCUCAUCGUCUGACCAUGCGCACUCGCUGUCGGUCGCGCUCGGCUGCUCGUCGUUGUCCUGCCUCCUCGUCCACGCCGCAGUCGUCAUCGACCCUCUCCAACCUCGUCUGCGUUGCGACCUCCAUCCUGCCUGCUCGCGGUUUCCCCCUCUGCUCAAACGUCGGCGCCCGUGGUGAAGGUAGACAGCCGCUCUAGCGUUUGGAUUUAUGGGUAGGUUUACUGUGUCUAAAACAGUGCUGAGUAAAAGUUUUAGUGUAUUUAGAGUUGGUUUGUCUAGAGAACAUUGAAAUAGCUAAAAGAGGAAAUAUAAAAGCCACACAAGUAGUGUUAAUAUAUGUUGUAGCGAAGUUAGACCCUAUAAAUUGUUGGGUAGCAAAUUUAAUGAACCUUAGUAUGUUUAGUACUCUAGUUUGUCUAACUAAAUUCAGUUUAGACCUUUAGAUAAAAUAUUAAGUUAAGUAUGGGUAAGCUUGUCAUGCGCUUAGUUAGAGGUGUUUAUAUUCCCCACCUCUCCUUUAUGAGAGUUUGCAUUUCAUAUCAUUACAUAAGCAUCCAUGUAUCUGUAAUUGACUUGUAGAACACCUAGAAGAAGUGGUGUUUGAACAAGAAGUCUACUCCAGUGCCUGUUCAUCAAGUGGAUGGAGCCAUCUAACUGAUCAUCGUGUUAGAAGUAUCUAGAACCUCUUCUCUGCAACAAAGGCAAGCCCCGGUGCAUUUGCCCCUUCCUUGUGUUUUAAAUGCUUUUUCACCUUAUCUGAUGCAUUAGGUGAUAGGAGUUGUGUGAUGAAAAAUUGAUGCAUUACCAUUCCUUGGAAACUCCUUAAUCCCUGUUUUAUAAAGAGAACUGAUAUUGCUUAGCCCUGCUUAAAAACUGAAAAAUCAUUUGUUUUUAAAAAGAAUGAUUGUGGAACAUUGGUUAUGGGCUUUUUAUUCAAAAAUCAAAGGAAACUAAGGUGAUGACUCCACUUCGGCCGGAGUGGGCUCAUCAUUGGAAAAGAGUACCCCUGCCGGGUACCAAAAAUGGGGAAAUGAUUAAUAAAUCUAGACCAGGCGCUGAGCAGACAGAGUCGCCCGUCUGUGUCGAUUAAGGACCGUACCGUUGACUGGCCUGUUGUGGUUGAGACUUUGCAACUAGCCACAUACCCUGGUAUGGGACAGGGUAAGCUUGAACCCGGCUAUUCCAUACGUGAAGAGACAAUCGCGCACUGGGAGUGGAGAGAUGGCGGGAGUAGCAUGUACCCUCCUGGCACAGCGCACGCCUGGUAGGUAAUGUGCUCUCGGGUGGCGCGGACCUGUUCAUGUAGUGGAGGACUCCGUGGGAACGGUUGACGUAUGCAAGGGUUAAGUGCUACAUAUGUCGUGUGGUUAGAGAUCCCCAGCUGGGUAUAAUCGGUUCGAAUCGUCGUUGCUCCUCGGUUAUGGAGACUCAUCCCGGUGACCAUCAUCGUAGUUAGCAAGUGAAAUAUGAGAAUGAAUAAAAUGCAGCUAGUAUAGGCCAAGUGCUUGAAAUAGACUAGGCAAAUAUAGAUGCAGGUAAUAACCUAACUAGUGAAAUAAAACUUGGCUUAAGGAUCAACUGGUAGCAAGCUUUUCUGCAAAAGGAGUCUUUGAUCAUUGAUAAACCUUACCUUGAUUCCCAAUCAACUAGCAUACCCUUGAGAGUCUUUUCUUUAGUCGGGUAAGUCUUGCUGAGUAAUUGCAUACUCAGGGUUUUAUCCCCUGUUGUUUUUGCAGGAGAAGUUUUAUUUCCUUAUCUUUUGGUUAGUUACUUCAUGUGGAGGCCUUGAAGCUUAGAAUGUUUAUGUGUAUCUCUUAUGGAAAGGCUUCACCGUUCCAAUUAUUGUAAUAAGUUAUGCACUUUGGGUACUAUCAGGACUUGUAAUAAAUACAUCUCUUUCUACCUUGUAAAACUUGAGUUCUGGAAUGUAAAGUGUACUUUGUAAAAGCCUUCCGCUCUAUCUCCAAUGUGUGUGUAUCAAAUGUGAUUACUGUAAUAUACCUGUUAUGUGGGAGAUCCUUGGGAUGAUGAGUUCCAGUUGGCGAACUCGAUAGCCUUGUUAAGUUACCCGGUACACGUGCACAGCCACCCGAGGCCAUUAAGGCAAGGAUUGGUGCACGUGGGCCCGAUAACUUGGGAGGGCUGUCACAGCGUGGUAUCGGAGCGAUCCCCCAUUAGCAUGGAUAUUAUAGUAAUCCUUUGAUAAACUUCAAAAUGAUUUUGAGUCUAAAUGGUUUUUAUAAACUUAAGAAUCUAUAAUCAAGGCCUGAUAGUAGAAGUGUAAAAAAAAUAUGUGGUUAAAACUAAGGACUAUCAGGUGGCUUAGUUUAAGAUGCUAACCACUAACCCACAACCUGGGAAGGGUAAUGCAUACAUGUGUAAUGUUAUUUUUAGUACCAUUCAGUUUUGAAUGGAUCGACGCUCAGGUAAAGGUGAGUUGUGAGAGCAUGACCGAACAAACGUCGGUCUAGGGGAGUGCUUAAAUGUGGCACUAGACUAUAUACAUAUUCUACAUAUGUAUAUAUGAAGGUUGCAACGUGGAGUAAUUACUUUUCUAGGAUUCAAUACCCCAUGGAUGUGUAUGGGUAUACAAACAUGGGAGUGCUGAGAAGUGUAAUGCAUAGUUACCACAAUGGACUGCCCUGUGGUUAAAGUGUGGCAGCGGCGCCUAUGCGUGGCUCGGCGCUUAAUGAGGAGCUGGCGUCCAUAUAGAAAUAUAUGGAGUAUAAACUGUGACCAAAUGUGUGAAUUGCAUCAUGGGGUUUGGGCUGUAAUGGAAUUUUCUGCAGGUACACUGACUAAACUCUAGGAAAUUACGACUAGUUAACUCCGGACUGAGUAGGUAUGCCACCGCCAUAGAGCGUGCAAGCCACUAUAUGCUGGCAAGAUUGUGAGAACGAAUAGGACGGACGAGCAUGCAUCAUGACAUAUAACUUUAAGUUAAACCCCCCAUGUAGUAGGUUUAGUACGUGUUUCGUCUACCCUGUUCAUGCUACCUGUCUUUGCCUUUCUAUGCUACCUUUCCCUUUUUUUUAAAAGACUGGAAGCCAAGUUUAGUUGGUGGGCAGAAUACCUUGCGCUGUAGGCAGAAGGACGUUAAGUUCUUGGGUUGAGUUUCGUGUGGUAUUUCGGGCACAUCAUAUUUUGAAAGCCCUUAUGGAAAUAAAGUUCAAUGAGUUCUUAGGUCAGAAUGUAUGCAAAAAAGAGAGAGAGUAUAAUGGAGGAUUUUGAGAGGUUUACACACCUAUCCCAGUAUGGUUUGGAUUUUGUGGAUACUAGUGAGAGGAAAAGGUAAUACUUCCUAUGUGGUUUUAAUGUGAAGCUUCAGCUCCUGAUGACAACCAGUUCAACUGAAGGUUAUAAUAAGGUGGUUAGUCAAGCUGUUUUGGGAGAUAAUAAGGUUCGUCUGCAUCAAGAGUUUAAGUGAAAGAAGUAAAGAAUAUACCCGAUGUUAAGAAGUUUCUAGAGGUGUUCCCCAAGAAUCUGCUUGGUUUACCUCCGGAAAGGGUCGUGGAAUUUGCGAUCGAGUUGCAGUCCGGAACUCCAAUUACCCUAGAAGUAGUAAGAUGAACCAAGAUUUGGAAUAGAGAUUUUGGUGGACCUCUGUCUUAUAAGGCGCAGCUGCCAGAGAAUCUUUCAACAGUGCCCAACAUAUUCCACGUGUAUCAGUUGAAGAGGUUUCUUCGAGUCCCCGAACAUGUUCUUGAGAUUUCAAAUGUCAAUCUUCAAUCGAAUUUAACCUACUCGGAACAUUCCAUAAAGGUUUUGGAUCAAAAGGAUCGGGCCACUCGAAGAAAGUUAUCGAGUUUUACAAGAUACGGUGGAACCAAAACACACGGAAGAUCAAGCCACAUGAGAAUUGGAGGAGAAUCUAGAAAAGCAUGUUCCUGAGUUUCUAGUGUCUUGUAAACCUAGGUCUGGUGUGUUUCGUUCUUAAUGUAAACCAACAGAGGUAUGCCUCUUGUCUUUUAAAAGUAAUGGGGAAAUAAACCAGUGAUACACUUCCUUUUCCAUUACUUGGCUUAGAGUUUAAAUCUCGGGACGAGAUUCCUUUUUAGGGGGGAAGGAUGUAACACCCCUGGUGUUACGAUUACUAAAACUCUGACAUGUCAUCAUCAACAUUUGCAUUAACUUGCUUGAUACACCUAGAAUGCAUUCACUAGGUCAACAAUUUGCAAAAUUGGGAUGUUUUGUAUUGAGUGUAGGGCUUAGUGUUAGGGCUUUGAUGGUUUGGAAUCCAUAUUGUUCUAAGGGACAUUGUACCAAACUUGUGGAGCAACAUUUGGAGCACCAAUUUGAUUAAGCAACUUGGCCUCAGAAGCAUUUGGAACUUGGAGAAAAGGGCGAGGUUGUGUCGUUUCGAAGAGAGCAAGAGAAGUUCAGAGACCUUGUUUGAAAUCUAGUAUAAGCAAACAACUUUUAAACCAAGGGAAAUUUGGACAUGAGCUAUAUACACCAAAGUUUGGUUUGAGCUUAAGGUUAACCUUGUUUUUAGUAGGAUGCAAUAAAUUGAUGAAGCACUUGAAGCAGAUCAAGUCCAAUUUCAACUAUAAACUAGCCCAAAAGUGGAUUUUAAGAUUUAGCUAUGUUUUGCUAAAAGUCUGUAUAUAAAAGUCGUGGAGCUUGGAAAAGUGAAUAAUUUUCAUAUUUGGAGCUCUCCAAGUGGUGUGGGAGAAUUUGAAGUAAUUUGCAAAAGUUCAGAUUUGGGUCAUUUUGGAAUCAGCCCAAAACAAUUUUGUUUAUCUGUUUUUGGAUCCCUGUAACAUUUAAUCCAUGAGUAUUUUGGAAACAGUUGCUAUAACAAACCUGUAGAGUAACUAUAGGAGAACAAUGUUUAUGAAAUGUAGCAGCCCUAAAACCAUAUGCAACUAGGAGAAAAAGGUGUUCAAAGUGGGACUGUCAGACUUCUGGAUUUUCAGACUUCGAAUAGUUGCCUAAUUCUGAAAUCAGUGUUUUUAGUGCCAUUUUGGGGCUGUGUGUUGCCUGUUCUAGGCAGCUUUGGACCAUGGUUGCUAU